UUACGGUCAAAUCACGCUGAAAGCACCGGUUCUCGUUCGAUCACCGAAGUUAAGCAUCGUAGAGCCAGGUCAGUACUUAGAUGGGGGACCGCUUGGGAACACCUGGUACUGUAAG
This 115-nucleotide ribosomal RNA is filed under the name Acanthosepion pharaonis. The record is from RNAcentral. Lineage: Eukaryota; Metazoa; Mollusca; Cephalopoda; Sepiida; Sepiidae.